CGCUGGCGGCGUGCUUAACACAUGCAAGUCGAGCGGUAAGGCCCUUCGGGGUACACGAGCGGCGAACGGGUGAGUAACACGUGAGCAACCUGCCCCUGACUCUGGGAUAAGCGGUGGAAACGCCGUCUAAUACCGGAUACGACACACCGUCUCAUGGCGUGUGUGUGGAAAGUUUUUUCGGUCAGGGAUGGGCUCCCGGCCUAUCAACUUGUUGGUGGGGUAAAGGCCUACCAAGGCGAUUACGGGUAGCCGGCCUGAGAGGGCGACCGGCCACACUGGGACUGAGACACGGCCCAGACUCCUACGGGAGGCAACAGUGGGGAAUAUUGCACAAUGGGCGAAAGCCUGAUGCAGCGACGCCGCGUGGGGGAUGACGGCCUUCCGGUUGUAAACCUCUUUUACCAUCAACGCAGGCUCCGGGUUCUCCCGGGGUUGACGGUAAGUGGGGAAUAAGGACCGGCUAACUACCUGCCAACAACCGCGGUAAUACCUAAGGUCCGAACGUUGUCCGGAAUUAUUGGGCGUAAAGAGCUCGUAGGCGGCGUGUCGCGUCUGCUGUGAAAGACCGGGGCUUAACUCCGGUUUGGCAGUGGAUACGGGCACGCUAGAGGUAGGUAGGGGAGACUGGAAUUCCUGGUGUAGCGGUGAAAUGCGCAGAUAUCAGGAGGAACACCGGUGGCGAAGGCGGGUCUCUGGGCCUUACCUGACGCUGAGGAGCGAAAGCAUGGGGAGCGAACAGGAUUAGAUACCCUGGUAGUCCAUGCCGUAAACGUUGGGCGCUAGGUGUGGGGACUUUCCAC
This 800-nucleotide ribosomal RNA is filed under the name Nocardiopsis sp. DST95. RNAcentral describes it as "bacterial SSU rRNA". It matches the Rfam family "Bacterial small subunit ribosomal RNA", at positions 34 to 836 of the family's 1533-position model. Lineage: Bacteria; Bacillati; Actinomycetota; Actinomycetes; Streptosporangiales; Nocardiopsidaceae. The record is from RNAcentral.